Molecule: RNA transcript, 1158 nt
Organism: Nicotiana attenuata
Lineage: Eukaryota; Viridiplantae; Streptophyta; Magnoliopsida; Solanales; Solanaceae
Exons: 6
Source: RefSeq, a predicted model, not a curated record
GUGGACCGUAGACUCGAAAACUUCGCGGAAACACAGGGAUCUCUGGAGCUUCGAUAGAGCCAUGGAAGCAUUGGCAAAGCUGGAGAGAGUCCAGACUCGACUCCUCAAACGCCUAUCGAACCUCGAAUCUUCUCUUCUCUCUCAACAUUUCUCUCAAAACCUCUCUCUAUCAACUUCCACCACCACCGAAGAUCGCCUUUCCGGCAUUCUUCGCACUAACGGCGUCGUCGAUUUCAGCUUCAAACGCGUCCCCUCUGAUUACUAUGAUUGGCCGCUCGAAUCUCGUCGUGAUAUUGUCAGUGCCGCAUCCAUUCAACAUCUCUGCAAAAGCAUUGUUCUGGUAAAUACUCAAGCCGCAUCCAAUAUUAUUGAUUGUAGUGAUCGUAACAAUUCAAAAUACUACGUUGUCGUUGUACAGUAUGCAGCUCGAUUUAAUGCUGAGGCUGUAAAGAAUUUUCUGUACAUUCUCAAUGAGAGCAAGAUAGCCAAGAAGAAAUUCAACAUGAGGCUGGCUCCUGAGGAGACAUCAGUAAAGCUGACUGGUUAUGAGCACAAUGCAGUCACAUGUAUUGGCAUGAAAACCAACAUACCGCUGAUGGUAGCUAAUGCCAUAUCAGCUAGUUUAAGAGCUACUCCUAAUGAAUGCCAAGAUUUGUGAUUACAUUCUCUAAUGCUGCAACUGGUGGUACCUAAUUUCCAUAUCAGCUACUUUCUGAGCUGCUUCUAAUGAAAUCCAGGAUUAAGUGGAUAAUCACACUAAUGAAGAUAUUAACUUGACUGGAACACUCCUGUUGUAAAUCAUUGAUUCCUCUAAAGUAUUGUUGGUUAAACCACAAAACAUCUGUCUGUCUUGCCUCCUGCACUCAUGUGCAUUACAUCAAUGUGUAUUAGGUAGUGCAGCCUUCAUGUCCACUGCUGUUUGCUGUAGCUUGAACAAAUUGGGCCCUGAGAUCUAGUUGCCUGUGUCUUGAUUCCUGUCACUCUCUUGCUUACACCAAUUGCUAAUAAUAUGCGAUAUAUGCUGAUGGGUCCCCGGUCUACCACAUUUAGAUGGGAAGUGGACUAAUUGGUGAUUUUGGAUGAAGCAAUCGCCAAGCUCAAUCCUGACUUCUUCUGGUUCGGAGGUGGCGAGAUUGAUCUUAAACUGGGGAUCAGGAC